UACGUAGGUGGCAAGCGUUAUCCGGAAUUAUUGGGCGUAAAGAGCGCGCAGGUGGUUGAUUAAGUCUGAUGUGAAAGCCCACGGCUUAACCGUGGAGGGUCAUUGGAAACUGGUCGACUUGAGUGCAGAAGAGGGAAGUGGAAUUCCAUGUGUAGCGGUGAAAUGCGUAGAGAUAUGGAGGAACACCAGUUGCGAAGGCGGCUUCCUGGUCUGUAACUGACACUGAGGCGCGAAAGCGUGGGGAGCGAACAGGAUUAGAUA
RNAcentral lists this ribosomal RNA (261 nucleotides) under uncultured prokaryote. Its description in RNAcentral is "partial 16S ribosomal RNA". It matches the Rfam family "Bacterial small subunit ribosomal RNA", at positions 524 to 784 of the family's 1533-position model. The record is from RNAcentral.